CGAUUGUCCUCAUAUUUUCAAGCAUGUAUUCUUUCUUAGCAUGAUCAACAGUUAGGAGAGCAGUACAAGGUUCACAGCUUGGUUUCAAGGGAUGGUGAAACACAUGUCAUGAUAUUCACCUUUGCCCAUCUGAUAUAUUGCAAUAUCCCGAUUAAACAAAUGCACGUCUAACAUGUUUGAUACACAGUAUGAUAGUACAGCUGGACUAUGCGGUGGUAUGAAUGGGCUGGUGGCUAGAUCAGAGGAAGUCGGACAUAAUAAUUUAACCGGGUCAUCAUGAAAAUAGACAUGUAUUCUAAACUAAUAACUGUCUGUGCUGUAUUCACUUUCAGUUCAACACUUCAUUAUGAAGGGGUCAGCGGAGCUAAGAUUCUUAUAUCUGCGAUAUACGGCGAGGGGAGUCAUUUCUUGGCUGCGUCAGCCAUAGGGGAAAGCCUUUUGAAGAGAGGCCAUGAGGUCACAUUUCUCAUCAGCAACGCAUAUGAUCAUCGCGCUAAAGAUCCCAAGUAUGACAAGUUUUCAUUUGAAAUUUUCAAUCAUUCAGUACCAGCUGAGAGAGUGCAAAGGAUUAUGAACGCUGCCAAUCAUGUAGCAUUUCAAGAGAGCAAUGACCAGUUUAGUAACUUGACGAAAUCGAUUAUGGAGCUGACUGGCCAGAGCUGUAAGAAUGUCAUCACAGACCGAGCACUUAUGCGUAGGUUAAAAGCAAUGGAUGCCAUCAUGAUGGACAUAUCAUGGCCAUGUGGUAUUUACAUCAAAGCUGCUCUUCAAAAAGACAGAGAAAUCCCCAAAGAUCUGAAGAUGAUCGCAAACUCUCCUACGACUCUCUGGAGUGGUUUCGUGUCGGCCUCAGGUUCUCCAUUUAACUUCGCCUAUAUGCCUGAAACAAUGACUGGUUUUACGAAUCGUAUGAACUUCUUACAGAGACUAAAAAACAUCGUUCAGUCUAUCUUGAUACAGGCCAGUAUUGAUUCAUCAAUGUUAUAUUCGUUUCGAAAAAUGGAAAGAGAAGUCGGUCUGCAGAAUAUUGUUGAUCCAUUUUAUGGCUAUACAGAUUUUGAUCUGUACCUGAGUAACAUUCAUUUCUCCUCUGACUUUCCUGUACCAAUGGUGCCGAAUCUUAUAUCAGUUGGAGGACUAACAGCUAAACCUGCUGGUAGAUUGCAGAAUGAACUUGAAGAAUUCGUUCAGAGCUCUGGAGACCAUGGCGUCAUUGUCUUCACCCUUGGUACCUAUCUGGCAUCUAUUACAACGAUCAGACCCGAAAUAGUAACGAUGUUUGCCGAAGCUUUCCGAAGAUUGCCACAAAAGGUCAUCUGGCAGUUAAAGGAACUCCCCGAUUGGGAGUUACCAUCCAAUGUGAAAGCUAUGCCAUGGUUACCUCAAAACGACCUCCUUGGUCAUCCAAAGACACGAGUAUUCAUGUACCAAGGAGGAAAUAAUGGUUUUCAAGAAGCGUGUUACCACGGAGUACCAAUCGUAGUCAUUCCUCUUCAAGGAGAUCAAUAUGAUGUCGCUGCUAGGAUCGAAGCAAGGGGUCUGGGUAAAAAGAUUGAAAAACUAGAACUCAACGCAGACAUCAUCUAUGAUACACUUACUGAAGUUAUCAAUAACCCAAGUUACAACGAGGUUGCAGAUAAAGUUUCUGCAAUUUACAAGGACCAGCCAAUGAGCGCUCCGGAUCGAGCUGCCUUUUGGAUAGAACAUGUCAUCAAGUUUGGUGGAGCUUAUAUGAGAUCUCCAGCUAAUGAUCUUACAUUCAUUCAAUAUCAUCUUAUAGAUGUAUAUGCCUUCCUCACUGCGAUAGUCGUUGUAUUUCUAGCUGUAGUCUAUUAUACUCUUAAAUUUUGUGUUUCUCUGUGUUGUCGUAUGAUAGGACGUGGCAGCAGUGGAAAAUCAAAGACUGAAUAACCAUGAUAAGUGUAGGUAAAUCUGGUAAACAUGUGUAAUCAAACAAUAUUGUUGCCUCAACUGGUAGAGCGGCCGCCUCGUAAUUGGGGAUCGUUGGCCGAGUCGAGCUAGGGGACUUUCAAAAUCGGACCUUUACCUGUUCGCAAGGUGCUCGGUAUUUUAUGAUAGAGGAGGGUCUUCUGUGCUGGUAUCAUUAUCAUCAUUAAGAGUGAAACACUUUUCCAUCAACUGUCUUCCAAAAAUAUUACAAGUUCCUAUUUUUUUUAGAACCAAAACUAUAAAUUCUUUGAUUUAUUUUGUCCUCUUAUGCAAAAUAUGGAUCGGGCAACUUGUGGUCUUACCAUUUAAAAGGGAGAUUUUCACACAGUGCCGCAGAGAAUGGAUCUUACAACACAUCAGCAAAUGCAUUCAAAAUGCAAGUCAAAUCACAUUCAGAGUUGACCUAAAAUUGCAAUUAUGUCGUUGGUCUAGAGUCACGAUCGAAACUGCCUUUUCAAUUCACCUACCCGGCCUCGACAAAGACCGAGGUGUGAUUUGAUACUGGCCUCGACAAAGACCGAGAUGUGAUUUGAUUUACACUGUCAAUGCAUUUGCUGCGUUAAUUCAUUCUGCAUCGUUGUAUAAAACACGGGCGUCAAUCCGGGGGGGGAUACAUCCCCCACACUUUUCGAAGGGGUUGACAUGUACAAUCACCCCCGACCACUUUUCAAGAUAGAAACAAAUAUCUAUAUUUUCAAUAAUCAAUUGGUUAAUACUACUGUUAAUGUUUGGGGGUCCGGAUUCAUCUUUGAAUGCAGUCAAAGUGUAAAUUGGCCUACAUGCAAAAUUUCUCGCGCGGUCGCUCGGCUCCCGCGCUCAAUCUAUUCUUACAAGAAUUUUGCCGUGACAAAUCCCUACGUUAUUUGCAAGGUUAUAUCUUCUGCAUCAUCAUGAUCAUGGAGAUUCGUUAAGAUAUGUCCAUUUUAUGAAUAUGUAAAUGUUUUGAAUAUCAUAAUUUGUAUCAUAAACGAAUAAAAACAUACUUUAAGUACACUUUGUAAAUAUGGGAUAUCUUUCUGGAAGCGGGUGAUUUUGUAAAAAA
RNAcentral lists this unclassified non-coding RNA (2992 nucleotides) under Lytechinus variegatus (green sea urchin). RNAcentral describes it as "uDP-glucuronosyltransferase 2C1-like, transcript variant X4". Lineage: Eukaryota; Metazoa; Echinodermata; Echinoidea; Temnopleuroida; Toxopneustidae. The record is from RNAcentral.